GAUGAACGCUGGCGGCGUGCUUAACACAUGCAAGUCGAACGAUGAAGCCCAGCUUGCUGGGUGGAUUAGUGGCGAACGGGUGAGUAACACGUGAGUAACCUGCCCUUAACUCUGGGAUAAGCCUGGGAAGCUGGGUCUAAUACCGGAUAGGAGCGUCCACCGCAUGGUGGGUGUUGGAAAGAUUUAUCGGUUUUGGAUGGACUCGCGGCCUAUCAGCUUGUUGGUGAGGUAAUGGCUCACCAAGGCGACGACGGGUAGCCGGCCUGAGAGGGUGACCGGCCACACUGGGACUGAGACACGGCCCAGACUCCUACGGGAGGCAGCAGUGGGGAAUAUUGCACAAUGGGCGCAAGCCUGAUGCAGCGACGCCGCGUGAGGGAUGACGGCCUUCGGGUUGUAAACCUCUUUCAGUAGGGAAGAAGCGAAAGUGACGGUACCUGCAGAAGAAGCACCGGCUAACUACGUG
RNAcentral lists this ribosomal RNA (466 nucleotides) under uncultured bacterium. Its description in RNAcentral is "partial 16S ribosomal RNA". It matches the Rfam family "Bacterial small subunit ribosomal RNA", at positions 28 to 507 of the family's 1533-position model. The record is from RNAcentral.